RNAcentral lists this long non-coding RNA (319 nucleotides) under Elaeis guineensis (African oil palm). RNAcentral describes it as "long non-coding RNA (EGUI_LNC005758)". The record is from RNAcentral. Lineage: Eukaryota; Viridiplantae; Streptophyta; Magnoliopsida; Arecales; Arecaceae.
CCUGUGGGCAUGAUUGCCGGCGACGGGUGUCGCCGGAUUUUAUUGGAAAAGAGAACCCCCUGUCCGGCCUCUUCUUUUCUCUGAUUUUCGGCACCGACGGUCACCACCGACCGUCGGUACGGGCCCUCCGAACUCGGAGGAAGGCCGUUCUUGCCGCCGGCCACCGUCGGACGGGGAAUGGCCGUGAUUGGUCGGUCAAGGCACGGGGACCUCUAGGUCCCCUGUUUCGGCCCAAUGGAAGCCCGGGAAGAAGGAAAAAGAAAAAGAAAAGAAAAAGGAAAAAGAAAAAGAAAAAGAAAAAGAAAAAGGAAAAAGAAAA